RNAcentral lists this ribosomal RNA (253 nucleotides) under uncultured bacterium. RNAcentral's name for it is "partial 16S ribosomal RNA". It matches the Rfam family "Bacterial small subunit ribosomal RNA", at positions 524 to 776 of the family's 1533-position model. The record is from RNAcentral.
UACGAAGGGGGCUAGCGUUGUUCGGAAUUACUGGGCGUAAAGGGCACGUAGGCGGACUAUUAAGUCAGGGGUGAAAUCCCGGGGCUCAACCCCGGAACUGCCUUUGAUACUGGUAGUCUCGAGUCCGGAAGAGGUGAGUGGAAUUCCGAGUGUAGAGGUGAAAUUCGUAGAUAUUCGGAGGAACACCAGUGGCGAAGGCGGCUCACUGGUCCGGUACUGACGCUGAGGUGCGAAAGCGUGGGGAGCAAACAGG